RNAcentral lists this long non-coding RNA (205 nucleotides) under Elaeis guineensis (African oil palm). RNAcentral describes it as "long non-coding RNA (EGUI_LNC038435)". Lineage: Eukaryota; Viridiplantae; Streptophyta; Magnoliopsida; Arecales; Arecaceae. The record is from RNAcentral.
CGAAGUCCAUUCGGUUGAACUUGGAAGGAUCGAUAGCAAACUUCCCUGUGCUCCUUUCAAAUCAGGCCAUUAUGAAAAGACAUCGUGGUGCAUGCCAAGUCACAUCAAAUCAUUAAACUCUAAGAGCUUAGACCAGGGGCACAUAUGAGCUCUUGACCAAUUGGCCGCACACGGCCUACAGGUUCCACGAUAGUCUUGUCCCAGC